UACGUAGGGUGCGAGCGUUAAUCGGAAUUACUGGGCGUAAAGCGUGCGCAGGCGGUUUUGUAAGCCAGAUGUGAAAGCCCCGGGCUCAACCUGGGAAUGGCAUUUGGGACUGCAAGGCUGGAGUAUGGCAGAGGAGACUAGAAUUCCUGGUGUAGCAGUGAAAUGCGUAGAUAUCAGGAGGAAUACCGAUGGCGAAGGCAGGUCUCUGGGCCAAUACUGACGCUCAUGCACGAAAGCUAGGGUAGCAAACGGG
This 253-nucleotide ribosomal RNA is filed under the name uncultured bacterium. Its description in RNAcentral is "partial 16S ribosomal RNA". It matches the Rfam family "Bacterial small subunit ribosomal RNA", at positions 524 to 776 of the family's 1533-position model. The record is from RNAcentral.